UGAGCAACCUACCGAACUGUGGGGGAUAGCCGGCCUAACGGCCGAGUAAUACCGCAUACGCUCUCAGUGAGGCAUUUCAUUGAGAGGAAACCUACGGGACAGAUCGAGGGGCUCGCGGCCUAUCAGCUAGUUGGCGAGGUAACGGCUCACCAAGGCAACGACGGGUAGCUGGUCCGAGAGGAUGACCAGCCACAUUGGGACUGACACACGGUCCAG
This 216-nucleotide ribosomal RNA is filed under the name uncultured bacterium. RNAcentral describes it as "partial 16S ribosomal RNA". It matches the Rfam family "Bacterial small subunit ribosomal RNA", at positions 118 to 334 of the family's 1533-position model. The record is from RNAcentral.